This 250-nucleotide ribosomal RNA is filed under the name uncultured bacterium. RNAcentral's name for it is "partial 16S ribosomal RNA". It matches the Rfam family "Bacterial small subunit ribosomal RNA", at positions 524 to 773 of the family's 1533-position model. The record is from RNAcentral.
AACGUAGGCGGCGAGCGUUAUCCGGAUUUACUGGGUGUAAAGCGCGUGCAGGCGGUUCUGCAAGUGGGACGUGAAAGCGCCCGGCUCAACCGGGCGAGGCCGUUCCGAACUGCGGGACUGGAGGCAGGUAGAGGCGUGUGGAAUUCCGGGUGUAGUGGUGAAAUGCGUAGAGAUCAGGAGGAACAUCCGUGGCGAAGGCGACUGCCUGGGCCAACACUGACACUGAGGCACGAAAGCGUGGGGAGCAAAC